GACGAACGCUGGCGGCGUGCCUAACACAUGCAAGUCAACUUGAGGGAAGGAGCAAUCUGACCUGAUGGUGGCGCAAGGGUGCGUAACGCGUAAGUAACUUGCCCCAAGGUAAGGAAUAACGUCGAGAAAUCGGCGCUAAUACCUCAUAAUGCAGCGGAUCCGCAUGGAUAUGUUGUUAAAGGUUUACCGCCUUGGGAUAGGCUUGCGUCUGAUCAGCUAGUUGGUGUGGUAAUGGCACACCAAGGCUACGAUCAGUAACUGGUCUGAGAGGAUGAUCAGUCACACUGGAACUGAGACACGGUCCAGACUCCUACGGGAGGCAGCAGUGAGGAAUAUUGGGCAAUG
This 345-nucleotide ribosomal RNA is filed under the name uncultured bacterium. RNAcentral describes it as "bacterial SSU rRNA". It matches the Rfam family "Bacterial small subunit ribosomal RNA", at positions 28 to 373 of the family's 1533-position model. The record is from RNAcentral.